AUCGAACGCUGGCGGCAGGCCUAACACAUGCAAGUCGAGCGGAUGAAGGGAGCUUGCUCCUGGAUUCAGCGGCGGACGGGUGAGUAAUGCCUAGGAAUCUGCCUGGUAGUGGGGGAUAACGUCCGGACACGGGCGCUAAUACCGCAUACGUCCUGAGGGAGAAAGUGGGGGAUCUUCUGACCUCACGCUAUCAGAUGAGCCUAGGUCGGAUUAGCGAGUUGGUGGGGUAAAGGCCUACCAAGGCGACGAUCCGUAACUGGUCUGAGAGGAUGAUCAGUCACACUGGAAGUGAGACACGGUCCAGACUCCUACGGGAGGCAGCAGUGGGGAAUAUUGGACGAGGGGCGAGAGCCUGAUCCAGCCAUGCCGCGUGUGUGAAGAAGGUCUUCGGAUUGUAAAGCAAUUUAAGUUGGGAGGAAGGGCAGUAAGUUAAUACCUGGCUGUUUUGACGUUACCAACAGAAUAAGCACCGGCUAACUUCGUG
This 484-nucleotide ribosomal RNA is filed under the name uncultured bacterium. RNAcentral's name for it is "partial 16S ribosomal RNA". It matches the Rfam family "Bacterial small subunit ribosomal RNA", at positions 30 to 507 of the family's 1533-position model. The record is from RNAcentral.